Molecule: non-coding RNA, 82 nt
Organism: Stereum hirsutum FP-91666 SS1
Lineage: Eukaryota; Fungi; Basidiomycota; Agaricomycetes; Russulales; Stereaceae
Source: the annotation of a RefSeq genome assembly
GACUUGGUGGCUUAACUGGUAAGCACAUCUGCGGUCAUGACGAAUACGUAGAUGAUCCUCGGUUCGAAUCCGAGUCGAGCCC